UGGUCAAGCAAUCAGUCAUCCCUCAGGCAUCAUUGGUCCUGGUCGUGUGCUGUAAUCAAUUUCAUUAUUUCAGAUAGCCAAUCGAAGAAGUGCAUUCUUUUGACCAAUGACACCACGGGGUAUUUUUAGACUAGACAGUGUCGCGUCACUCGUCUGCCAGCUGUCUGAGUUGACGGGCUUAUAAUAUAAACCUCGCAGCUUACCAGUACAGAACAACAUCACGGCCGCGCGGUGACGGAGUCCUUUGUCCUUUCAGCAUCCUACCUUUUAACAGGAUCUUAUUGGUGCCAUCAAGUCCGGAUUAACUGCAGCUGCAAUGUUCCUGGUGGGACUUAUUCUGGUGAGAGUUUGUCCGAUGCCAUCUCCACGGCUAGCUGUACGGUGACGUCCAGACAGAUCCUUCCCUGUGUAAAAGCCCCGCCAGAGGACCUGAAACUAAGAUAAGUUCUUGUGUGUCUUAUGGGGUGUAAAAUGGAAACAUGUCGCAGAAUUGGGCUGGGACUAACUUCUCGUCGGCAUGAUAAGAAGGAAAUGAUUUGUGCGGCCUUUUGUGCCUUAUAAACUACAACAAAGCAAGAAGCCUUCACGGCUUCAGGAAGGGUCUGUCCUGUGAGAGCCAGCUGGUGCUAACCCUCCAAGACCUGGCCAAGAACAUAGACCAGAACAAACAGGUCGAUGCCGCGGUGCUUGACUUUGGCAAAACAUUCGAUACCGUGCCUCACGAACGUCUGCUGAGCAAUCUCGAGCACUAUGGUAUUUCUGGCCUCCUUCAGUCUUGGCUUAGGGCUUUCCUUACGGAGAGAACCCAGAGGGUUGUCUUUGGCGGUGAAACAUCUAAAGCCGUCAAGGUCACCUCUAUCUGGAGUUCCGCAGGGUAUUGUGUUAGGCCCUCUACUCUUCCUGCUCUAUAUCAACGACCUACCCGAUUCCGUAGACAUGUUCGACUAUUUGCUGACGAUUGCUUGAUUUAUCGAACUAUCAGCAAGCCUUCUGAUGCUUUAGGUCUGCAGUCUGACCUCGAUGCGCUAACAGAAUGGCAAAUGCAGCAUGGCUUAUGUCGUUCAACCCCACUAAAUGUCACAUCCUCCAUAUCACCCGUAAGAAGCACCCCGUCUUAACUCAGUACUCCCUCUGCGGAGAAGCCCUCACCGGUGUUAAGUCCCACCCCUAUCUUGGAGCACAACUGUCCGAUGAAUUGCGGUGGGACACCCAUAUCAACUAAUAAUAACUAAUUUCGCUUUGUUGCUUCCAUGGCCAGGACCUUAUUGGUGCCAUCAAGGUGACGUCCAGAAAGAGCGGUGCUCGAGUUUACGCCCUGCCAAGGGACCUGAAACUAAGUUAAGUACUUUAAUACGUGUCUUCUCCGUUGAAAAUAUAUCGCAGGGAUGGGCUGAGACUAACUUUUCAUCGACAUGAUAGGAAGUAAAUUAUUAGUUGUGAUGAUUCGUUAAAUGAACUCUUAGUUGGAGGUAAGGUACUUUAGUGUGCUCUGUUGACAUUCCGAGCGAUGUUGUCGGGAAGGGUUUAUAUUAGAACAUUUUGUAAAUGGAGGCUCCUUUGCAUUCAGGGCUUCAGUCCGUUACUGUGGUGUACAGGCCUGGUGUGUGGCUGGUUUGGUUUCUGUGACUGUGUCGAUGGCCGGGAUGGCAUUCGGUCAAUUAUUUCAAAUUCUGUUCUUUACAAAACUGGGUUUUCCCUGGUUCACCAUCUGUCGUCAUUUCCGUUUUAUGUCAUGGUCAGUGGUUGUCGGGGACCUAGACUAUUACAUAAUCUGCCUCGUGUUGUUUUCUUGGGUCCCGAACCAAGAGAACGGCACAGGCCAGAAAGAAAGACAGGUGGCUGAAGAGCCUAUUUAAUAUUACUAGUUUAGUCGUUUAGAAAAAAAAAACUCGGCGUCGACAUAGUCACAGAAACUUAAUCAGCUAUGCAUUGGGCUUGUAUAUCACAGAAGCAGACUGAAGCAAUGAGAGCAGAAGUGGCCAUUGCUUUCGAAAAUUAAAGCAAAACAAAGGCAGCAUUAUGCCAUAAGCAGCAUUACUUAGGAUUUCAUCAAAGCACACACAACACCCUGCCACCAAACAAGAGAUAAUGAUUCCUCUCGCUAUUUCUAUGUUAAAACUAGAGCUGAAAUUACAAUGACAAAACAAAUGAACUUCCUGCCAUGCCAAUGCACGUAGCUGAGCUUUCUUUUAGGUAUAGUGUUAGAUAUAGUCUUAUAUUUCUGAGUUAGGUUUAAUUUCUGUCUCGUCUUUUCUCCCGAGGAUUAUCACACCGUAAGAAGAAAUAUCUGGACGCGGAAAGGGAGGCGAGGACUGACGAAGGAAGGUGCCGAACGUGAGCGAAUGGGCUUCGCAGUCUUCUAUGACAAGAAGUGUCUGGGCUUGGUAAGCGAGGAAAGAAAGGCACAGGGAAAUGGAGGUUUCAAAGUGUCGCCGUUACUGCAAGUGCUUUCGUGACGACGUCCGGUGCAUCACCAGCCAGGGCACGCCUGAUUCGACAUAGACAAGCAAUGUCUGAACGUUACGGGUACCGUCACCGAAGGCGCUUCACAACAUCCGGGAAGACGGUGGUCCUGGCGGAAGGCGUCUUAGUGUCUUCCCUCGUAGCUGGAUUUCAGAAGCUUCUUGAGAUGAAAUUCCAUAACUGGAUAAAUGUCUGGACGCCAUAAGGAAGGCAAGGUCAAGCGUCACCGUCACUGACAUGACAAUAUCGUGCUUCGUGACAACACCACGUGCAUCACCAAGGAGGUGGACUGUCGUUUCCCAUAUAAUAAGUUGUUUGUGUUGAACAAUAUUGUCUGAAUGCAGUAGCAAAGCAAUAUUUGUUAUUUUUUUAACAUUACACUGAACCAAGGAGAUUCAAUCAAACCUCCUUGAUUAAACCUGUGUUUGAGAAUAUAUAAAGUUUAUUGCAAAUUCUUGCCCUUGGGCUAAUUGCAGGUAACAUAAAAGAUUCAAACAGUGUAAAAAACAAUAUCACAAGUGUCUGCUCUGGUCUAAAGCUAGUCUGAUGUCCUUGUAACUUGGCGAAUGUAAGCUUGGUUUCAGUAGGGCGUUAAGGCAUUUUGUAAAUGGAGGCUCCUUUUGCCCUCAUAGCUAAAGCCCGUUUCUGUGGUGUACAAGCUUGGCGUGUGGCUGAUUUUAUUUCAUGUGACUCUGUCGAUGGCCGGAAUUGUAUUCGGUCAGUUACUGUUAAUUCUGUUCUUUAUAAACAGGGUCUUCCCUGGUUCACCAUCUGUUGUAAUUUCUGUUUUAUGUCAUGGUCAGUGGUUGUCGGGGACCUAGACCAUUACAUAAUCUGCCUCGUGUUGUUUUCUUGGGUCCCGAACCAAGAGAACGGCACAGGCCAGAAAGGAAGGCAGGUGGUUGAAAGGCCUUCUUUUAUUUUAGUAUUUUAGUCCUUUUAGAAAUGCUAGAGUUCGUGGUAUCGUGGUUCGCAGUCACAGAAACCGAAUCAAUGCAAACAGAAUGCAAAGUGUACAAUUGUUCAGUUAUCAUAUAUAUCACGAUAGUAGAUACUUGUACAUAUAGUUACGCCUACUUACCUUAUGUGUUAGGUAUAGUUUUCCCAUAUUUUUGAGUGAAGAUCUCGUCUUUUUUUGUAAAGAGGCUUGGAGAUGUAGUGCUGUUUAGGCGCCUUUUGUUAGCAGCCUCUGUUUUUCAGUGUAUUUGUUUGAUGCCCUUCCAGUACAGGGGUGGCUGACACUGGAUUGUUUUGUGUGUUUCACUUAUUUUCAUUGUCGCAGAAAAGUGGUCUACAUGUUAGAAUUUAGUAAAUGUCAACAUUGUCCGUUUAUUGUGUAGAGGUUGUAGCCCUUUAAAUCAGUUGUUUGGAAAUUUCCCUAGUAACUGAGGCUAAGGCUGGCGCUGGCGCUGACACUAACACAAGACAAACACAUACACACAUACACACUAACAGACUAACCCCACCAAACACACACAUUUUUCACGGACACUAAUAAUCAGCGCAAAUGCCUUAGCCUUAGACUGAAAAAAAAUCUAUGAUUCUUCAAGUACAAGGCUCCACGCUACCUCUAUACCAUGUACUGACAAUGUCAAUAUUUACUGAUUUUUAGCUCUUUUAUCCACUAUGUCCUAGAGUGAGGGUAAGUUCAUUUUUGAUUCUAGAGUAUCUUCAUUUGUUAUGAGGUUUAUAUAUUAUACACUUUGCAUUUCUCUAUUUUGCUAAUAAACAAAUAUGUUGAAAUCGGA
This is a long non-coding RNA of Branchiostoma floridae (Florida lancelet), 4211 nucleotides long. RefSeq lists it as uncharacterized. The transcript has 5 exons. NCBI's taxonomy places the organism in Eukaryota, Metazoa, Chordata, Leptocardii, Amphioxiformes, Branchiostomatidae. The record is from RefSeq and is a predicted model, not a curated record.